UGGGGAAUAUUGGACAAUGGGCGCAAGCCUGAUCCAGCCAUGCCGCGUGAGUGAUGACGGCCCUAGGGUUGUAAAGCUCUUUCAGUGGUGAAGAUGAUGACAUUACCCGGAGAAGAAGCGCCGGCUAACUCCGUGCCAGCAGCCGCGGUAAGACGGAGGGCGCUAGCGUUGUUCGGAAUCACUGGGCGUAAAGGGCGCGUAGGCGGCUGUUUAAGUCGAGGGUGAAAGCCCGGGGCUCAACCCCGGAACGGCCUUCGAGACUGGGCAGCUCGAGACCGGAAGAGGAGGGUGGAAUACCCAGUGUAGAGGUGAAAUUCGUAGAUAUUGGGUGGAACACCAGUGGCGAAAGCGGCUCUCUGGUCCGGAUCUGACGCUGAGGCGCGAAAGCGUGGGGAGCAAACAGGAUUAGAUACCCCCGUAGUCC
RNAcentral lists this ribosomal RNA (424 nucleotides) under uncultured prokaryote. RNAcentral's name for it is "bacterial SSU rRNA". It matches the Rfam family "Bacterial small subunit ribosomal RNA", at positions 355 to 796 of the family's 1533-position model. The record is from RNAcentral.